AGAACGAACGCUGGCGGCAUGCCUAACACAUGCAAGUCGAACGAGACCUUCGGGUCUAGUGGCGCACGGGUGCGUAACGCGUGGGAAUCUGCCCUUGGGUUCGGAAUAACAGUUAGAAAUGACUGCUAAUACCGGAUGAUGACUUCGGUCCAAAGAUUUAUCGCCCAAGGAUGAGCCCGCGUAAGAUUAGGUAGUUGGUGGGGUAAAGGCCUACCAAGCCGACGAUCUUUAGCUGGUCUGAGAGGAUGAUCAGCCACACUGGGACUGAGACACGGCCCAGACUCCUACGGGAGGCAGCAGUGGGAAUAUUGGACAUGGGCGAAAGCCUGAUCCAGCAAUGCCGCGUGAGUGAUGAAGGCCUUAGGGUCGUAAAGCUCUUUACCCGGGAUGAUAAUGACAGUACCGGAGAAUAACGCCCCGGCUAACUCCGCGCCAGCAGCCGC
This 443-nucleotide ribosomal RNA is filed under the name uncultured bacterium. Its description in RNAcentral is "SSU rRNA". It matches the Rfam family "Bacterial small subunit ribosomal RNA", at positions 26 to 518 of the family's 1533-position model. The record is from RNAcentral.